This 253-nucleotide ribosomal RNA is filed under the name uncultured prokaryote. RNAcentral describes it as "partial 16S ribosomal RNA". It matches the Rfam family "Bacterial small subunit ribosomal RNA", at positions 525 to 777 of the family's 1533-position model. The record is from RNAcentral.
ACGGGGGGAGCAAGCGUUGUUCGGAAUCACUGGGCGUAAAGGGCGCGUAGGCGGUUCGUUAAGUCGUUGGUGAAAUCCCGGGGCUCAACUCCGGGGCGGCCGGCGAGACUGGCGGGCUCGAGCACGGUAGAGGCAGAUGGAAUUCCCGGUGUAGCGGUGGAAUGCGUAGAUAUCGGGAAGAACACCAGUGGCGAAGGCGUUCUGCUGGGCCGUUGCUGACGCUGAGGCGCGACAGCGUGGGGAGCAAACAGGA